AAGUAAGGCUGCAAGUGUGCUUGGUUCUGCAGUGGCUCCUUGCACCCCUGCAGUGCUUGUCAGAGGGUUCUACAUGGGUUUGAGGCCUUGCCCUGUCCUCUCCUUGGAGCUUGACCAUAGAUAUUUCAGACAGUU
Molecule: small nucleolar RNA, 135 nt
Filed under: Echinops telfairi (small Madagascar hedgehog)
Lineage: Eukaryota; Metazoa; Chordata; Mammalia; Afrosoricida; Tenrecidae
Description: Small nucleolar RNA SNORA9 (ENSETEG00000026727.1)
Source: RNAcentral